RNAcentral lists this ribosomal RNA (483 nucleotides) under uncultured bacterium. RNAcentral's name for it is "partial 16S ribosomal RNA". It matches the Rfam family "Bacterial small subunit ribosomal RNA", at positions 28 to 507 of the family's 1533-position model. The record is from RNAcentral.
GACGAACGCUGGCGGCGUGCUUAACACAUGCAAGUCGAACGCUGAAGCUCAGCUUUUGUUGGGUGGAUGAGUGGCGAACGGGUGAGUAACACGUGAGUAACCUGCCCCCUUCUUUGGGAUAACGCCCGGAAACGGGUGCUAAUACUGGAUAUUCACUGGUCUUCGCAUGGGGGUUGGUGGAAAGGGUUUUUCUGGUGGGGGAUGGGGGCGGGGCCUAUCAGCUUGUUGGUGGGGUGAUGGCCUACCAAGGCUUUGACGGGUGGCCGGCCUGAGAGGGUGAACGGGAAGAGAGGGACGGAGAUAGGGCCCAGAAUAGGACGGGAGGGAGAAGUGGGGAAAAUGGCAGAAUGGGCGCAAGAGUGAUGCAGCGACGGCGGGGGAGGGAUGGAGGCCUUCGGGUUGUGAACCUGUUUGGAUAAUGGUGAAGCCGCAACAAUGGUUGUGGUGAGGGUAGUGGGUAAAGAAGCGCCGGCUAACUACGUG